UGGGGUUAUGGCUCAGUGGUAGAGUGCUUGCCUAGCAGCACAAGGGACUGCGUUUGAUCCCCAGCACCACAA
RNAcentral lists this transfer RNA (72 nucleotides) under Marmota monax (woodchuck). RNAcentral describes it as "tRNA.Ala". Lineage: Eukaryota; Metazoa; Chordata; Mammalia; Rodentia; Sciuridae. The record is from RNAcentral.